This 468-nucleotide ribosomal RNA is filed under the name uncultured bacterium. RNAcentral describes it as "partial 16S ribosomal RNA". It matches the Rfam family "Bacterial small subunit ribosomal RNA", at positions 28 to 507 of the family's 1533-position model. The record is from RNAcentral.
GACGAACGCUGGCGGCGUGCUUAACACAUGCAAGUCGAACGGAAAGGCCCUGCUUUUGUGGGGUUCUCGAGUGGCGAACGGGUGAGUAACACGUGAGUAACCUGCCCUUGACUUUGGGAUAACUUCUGGAAACCGGGGCUAAUACCGGAUAGGAGCUCCUGCUGCAUGGUGGGGGUUGGAAAAUUUCGGCGUUUGGGGCUGGACUCGCGGCUUAUGAGCUUGUUGGUGGGGUAGUGGCUUACCAAGGCUUUGACGGGUAGCCGGCCUGAGAGGGUGACCGGCCACAUUGGGACUGAGGUAGGGCCCAGAAUCCUACGGGAGGCAGCAGUGGGGAAUAUUGCGCAAUGGGCGGAAGCCUGAUGCAGCAACGCCGCGUGCGGGAUGACGGUCUUCGGGUUGUAAACCGCUUUCGAAUGUGACGAAGCGUGAGUGACGGUAAUGGGUAAGGAAGCAACGGCUAACUACGUG